AACGAACGCUGGCGGCAGGCCUAACACAUGCAAGUCGAGCGAGGACUUCGGUCCUAGCGGCGGACGGGUGAGUAACGCGUGGGAACGUGCCCUUUGCUUCGGAAUAGCCCUGGGAAACUGGGAGUAAUACCGGAUGAGCCCCUCGGGGGAAAGAUUUAUCGACGAAGGAGCGGCCCGCGUUGGAUUAGGUAGUCGGUAGGGUAAUGGCCUACCAAGCCGACGAUCCAUAGCUGGUUUGAGAGGAUGAUCAGCCACACUGGGACUGGGACACGGCCCAGACUCCUACGGGAGGCAGCAGUGGGGAAUCUUAGACAAUGGGGGAAACCCUGAUCUAGCCAUGCCGCGUGAGCGAUGAAGGCCUUAGGGUUGUAAAGCUCUUUCAGCUGGGAAGAUAAUGACGGUACCAGAAGAAGAAGCCCCGGCUAACUCCGUG
This 433-nucleotide ribosomal RNA is filed under the name uncultured bacterium. Its description in RNAcentral is "partial 16S ribosomal RNA". It matches the Rfam family "Bacterial small subunit ribosomal RNA", at positions 29 to 507 of the family's 1533-position model. The record is from RNAcentral.